RNAcentral lists this ribosomal RNA (1004 nucleotides) under Campylobacter jejuni. RNAcentral describes it as "partial 23S ribosomal RNA". It matches the Rfam family "Bacterial large subunit ribosomal RNA", at positions 1 to 1017 of the family's 2925-position model. Lineage: Bacteria; Pseudomonadati; Campylobacterota; Epsilonproteobacteria; Campylobacterales; Campylobacteraceae. The record is from RNAcentral.
UAAAAAAAGGUAAGCUACUAAGAGCGAAUGGUGGAUGCCUUGACUGGUAAAGGCGAUGAAGGACGUACUAGACUGCGAUAAGCUACGGGGAGCUGUCAAGAAGCUUUGAUCCGUAGAUUUCCGAAUGGGGCAACCCAAUGUAUAGAGAUAUACAUUACCUAUAUAGGAGCGAACGAGGGGAAUUGAAACAUCUUAGUACCCUCAGGAAAAGAAAUCAAUAGAGAUUGCGUCAGUAGCGGCGAGCGAAAGCGCAAGAGGGCAAACCCAGUGCUUGCACUGGGGGUUGUAGGACUGCAAUAUGCAAGAGGUAAGUUUAGCAGAACAUUCUGGAAAGUAUAACCAUAGAGGGUGAUAGUCCCGUAUGCGAAAAACAAACCUUAGCUAGCAGUAUCCUGAGUAGGGCGGGACACGAGGAAUCCUGUCUGAAUCCGGGUCGACCACGAUCCAACCCUAAAUACUAAUACCAGAUCGAUAGUGCACAAGUACCGUGAGGGAAAGGUGAAAAGAACUGAGGUGAUCAGAGUGAAAUAGAACCUGAAACCAUUUGCUUACAAUCAUUCAGAGCCCUAUGUAGCAAUACAGGGUGAUGGACUGCCUUUUGCAUAAUGAGCCUGCGAGUUGUGGUGUCUGGCAAGGUUAAGCAAACGCGAAGCCGUAGCGAAAGCGAGUCUGAAUAGGGCGCUUAGUCAGAUGCUGCAGACCCGAAACGAAGUGAUCUAUCCAUGAGCAAGUUGAAGCUAGUGUAAGAACUAGUGGAGGACUGAACCCAUAGGCGUUGAAAAGCCCCGGGAUGACUUGUGGAUAGGGGUGAAAGGCCAAUCAAACUUCGUGAUAGCUGGUUCUCUCCGAAAUAUAUUUAGGUAUAGCGUUGUGUCGUAAUAUAAGGGGGUAGAGCACUGAAUGGGCUAGGGCAUACACCAAUGUACCAAACCCUAUCAAACUCCGAAUACCUUAUAUGUAAUCACAGCAGUCAGGCGGCGAGUGAUAAAAUCCGUCGUCAAGAG